RNAcentral lists this long non-coding RNA (533 nucleotides) under Carica papaya (papaya). RNAcentral describes it as "long non-coding RNA (CPAP_LNC006119)". The record is from RNAcentral. Lineage: Eukaryota; Viridiplantae; Streptophyta; Magnoliopsida; Brassicales; Caricaceae.
CAUGAUUGUAUUUUUCUUUGUAAAAUACCAAAAAACUCCCGUGCAAUAGCAUUUUGGCGGGUGACAUAACUAUAUGCUUGACAGGUAAUUGCAACAAAUUCUCCCAUGAAACACCUUCUCUCGUCGUCAACGAUCAUACUCUGAAGCUCAAAAACACCACCCACAUCGACAGAAUCCCACUGUACAAAACCCAUUAAACGAAGGAAAAAAACGAAGAGGAAGUAAACCAUGGUUGAGAGAGAAUAUGAAAAGAAACUACUGUGUUCGAGUAUCGAGAUCGAGAAAGAGUAGGUACACAGAGAGAGAAAGAGAGGAAAAAAAAAAAAAUGAAAAGGGAAGCAAAAAGUAGUAGAGGGAGAGCAGAAAAGGAGGAAAAUUUGGGAGAAAAGUUGAAGAGAGGGGUAUUGGUAGGGAAAAAGGCGGGCCCCUGUACUCCACUCCUUUCUGGACACUGUUCCCUUCUUCCUCUGCGCAUGAUUGCAGUAUCCCUAACCAUCACGCCGCUUCUGUUUCCGCUAGAAAACUAGCNNNNN